RNAcentral lists this ribosomal RNA (309 nucleotides) under uncultured fungus. RNAcentral describes it as "eukaryotic LSU rRNA". The stretch from base 1 to 52 matches the Rfam family "5.8S ribosomal RNA", at positions 103 to 154 of the family's 154-position model. Lineage: Eukaryota; Fungi. The record is from RNAcentral.
AACGCACCUUGCGCUCCCUGGUAUUCCGGGGAGCAUGCCUGUUUGAGUGUCGUGAAAUCAUCAUGGUCAUGAUCUUUAAUUAAUCAUGGCUUGGUUUUGGAGGUUAUGUUGGCUUUUUAUUAAGUUGACUCCUCUUAAAUACAUUAGCUCAGUGUUUAAUGCUUAGAGCGGUUCACGGUGUGAUGAUCUAUGACCGCUGAGGACAUCUCUCGGGAUGGCCAAGCCUGCCUUGAACUGCUUCUAACUCAUCAUUUCAUGAUAUUUUUCAACUUUGACCUCGAAUCAGGCGGGACUACCCGCUGAACUUAA